AGAGCUGAGAGCCACCUACUAGCGGCAGGUGGAGCCUCGAGACGGGUGCUGUCGUGGUGAUGGAGGCGCACGCUCGCUUCCCACGCAGUUUGGCCUUUUUGACGUCCCUGGCUGUUGUGGGCAACCGAUUUGGUUGGUCGCGCUGCUUCCUACGCUCGCCGGCGGAGCAGCUAGUGGCACCUGCUCGGAGAGAGGGAGUGGAUCUCUCGGAAGUGCUUGGGGUUUCGCUGAAGCGGACCUGAACAGACCAUGUGUCCUUUAAAUACAGCCAUGCUUUUAGAAACGGACUGUCACUUUAUGUGGACUCAACCAUUGAACAGAAUGUGUGCUUUUGUGAGUGCUGCAAUUCCUUCAAGUGUAAUUGCGCUACUGCAUUUUUGUUGGUCGCAGGGAAGGGGUGUGCCUGCAAAUGUCCGCGUGGUUCGUCCUCAGCCUCUUCCUUUUUACACUGUGCUAGGAUGUUUACUUGCUUGUGGUGGAGGUAGGGGAAGCCAGUAUUUGUGUACUGUGUACUGUCCUGAACCGGCUUUCAUUCCUAACUUUUCAAAGAUUGCUUUAAAGGGGGGGGGGCGCGGGUCAAAUAUUGUUUUAAAGGGGGGGACGG
This 604-nucleotide long non-coding RNA is filed under the name Homo sapiens (human). RNAcentral describes it as "non-protein coding lnc-RNF125-2:3". Lineage: Eukaryota; Metazoa; Chordata; Mammalia; Primates; Hominidae. The record is from RNAcentral.